ACUCAAAUGAAUUGACGGGGACCCGCACAAGCGGUGGAGCAUGUGGUUUAAUUCGAGGCAACGCGAAGAACCUUACCAGGCCUUGACAUAGGUAGUUUGAGUCACAGAAAUGUGAUUCUUCAUUUAGUUGGCUACCAUACAGGUGUUGCAUGGCUGUCGUCAGCUCGUGUCGUGAGAUGUUGGGUUAAGUCCCGCAACGAGCGCAACCCUCAUCCUUAGUUGCCAUCAUUUAGUUGGGCACUCUAAGGAAACUGCCGGUGACAAGCCGGAGGAAGGCGGGGAUGACGUCAAGUCAUCAUGGCCCUUACGGCCUGGGCUACACACGUGCUACAAUGGCGGUGACAAUGCGCAGCCAACUCGCAAGAGUGAGCUAAUCGCUAAAAACCGUCUCAGUUCGGAUUGUCCUCUGCAACUCGAGGGCAUGAAGCUGGAAUCGCUAGUAAUCGUAGAUCAGCACGCUACGGUGAAUACGUUCCCGGGUCUUGUACACACCGCCCGU
RNAcentral lists this ribosomal RNA (499 nucleotides) under uncultured bacterium. RNAcentral describes it as "partial 16S ribosomal RNA". It matches the Rfam family "Bacterial small subunit ribosomal RNA", at positions 899 to 1397 of the family's 1533-position model. The record is from RNAcentral.